AGUCUUUAAUUUCGUGCUUAGAAAAAAAUCAGUGGUUGAAGAGGAAGGCUACGGAAUCAUACGAUUUUAUCUAUUAAUCUUUGUGAGGAGAUAACUAAAACUGUGGAGCGAGAUUGAUCUAACUGGCCUGGAAGGUGAGAGCAAAUGAGAUCCUGAAAGGUAGGAUUAGUUCUGACUUUGAUUUAUCAAGUUUACUCUCAAUAUUUUGAAUUUCUGCAUAUUAAUAUAUCUUUGCUGGCUUUGAUGUCUUAAAUCUAUCUUUUUGAUAUGUUAGAGUGAAAGCAUUUCUCAUCCUCUCAAGUCUCGACCGUUAAGAAAGGUAACUACAUCUCUAAUCCAAAAAAAAUGAUCAGAUACAAUAACUAUUUGGAAUCUUACGAUCAUUUUUUUCUAUUUUCUAUUGGAAAUACCAACAUAUGCCGACUACCACUAUCAUACCGGAAACGAAGAGCUUUAUGUAGAGUCUAGGACAAAUUCAACGAAGGUAUUCAAUUCUUCUUUUAAUCUCUUUUUUUUGGUCGAAUGAUUUUCAUAACAAGUGAUGACUUCAUUAAUAGAUUUUCUGAUGCUAAAUUCCGAAUUUUUUGUGCAUCACAUAGUUAUGAGUUUAACUUAUGUUUUUAUCUAGAUAUUGAUGCAAUGAUUAUUGAUACUUAAAAGAAUAGCUUAAGACGAAAAAGAAAGGAGAAAGACAAGAAGAAAGAGCAUGAGAUGAAGAUAAAAAUAGUAGAACAAGAGAGAAAGAAGACCAAAGAACAACACACAAAUGUGAUUUUUUUAUGGAAUGUAAUUUUAUUAGAUUAAUUUUCUCCUUUUCUAAUUUUUACAUCAAUAUAAGAUUAAUGUUUAGUACACGACUUUCUUAAUGUGAUCUGUAUUUUGAAAGAAAAAUUAAUGAUUAGAUAGGAUUGCAUGAUCUAAACUAACAAGAAGAAAUAUAAAUAAACAAACAAACCAUCUAAAUGGAAAAUAAUGAAGAAA
This 981-nucleotide long non-coding RNA is filed under the name Arabidopsis lyrata. Its description in RNAcentral is "long non-coding RNA (ALYR_LNC000700)". Lineage: Eukaryota; Viridiplantae; Streptophyta; Magnoliopsida; Brassicales; Brassicaceae. The record is from RNAcentral.